UGGGGAAUAUUGCACAAUGGGGGAAACCCUGAUGCAGCGACGCCGCGUGAGUGAAGAAGUAUUUCGGUAUGUAAAGCUCUAUCAGCAGGGAAGAAAAUGACGGUACCUGACUAAGAAGCCCCGGCUAACUACGUGCCAGCAGCCGCGGUAAUACGUAGGGGGCAAGCGUUAUCCGGAUUUACUGGGUGUAAAGGGAGCGUAGGCGGCAAGGUAAGCCAGAAGUGAAAGCCCGCGGCUCAACUGCGGGACUGCUUUUGGAACUAUCUAGCUAGAUUGCAGGAGAGGUAAGUGGAAUUCCUAGUGUAGCGGUGAAAUGCGUAGAUAUUAGGAGGAACACCAGUGGCGAAGGCGGCUUACUGGACUGUAAAUGACGCUGAGGCUCGAAAGCGUGGGGAGCAAACA
RNAcentral lists this ribosomal RNA (402 nucleotides) under uncultured Coprococcus sp. Its description in RNAcentral is "bacterial SSU rRNA". It matches the Rfam family "Bacterial small subunit ribosomal RNA", at positions 355 to 774 of the family's 1533-position model. Lineage: Bacteria; Bacillati; Bacillota; Clostridia; Lachnospirales; Lachnospiraceae. The record is from RNAcentral.